UGAAUACGAGAUGCUGCGGCGUCGAAGCAGUCUAUGUCAUACUUCCAAGAAAAGCUUGCACUGUCAUAAACAAAUAAUGCCUGUACCAUAACCGACACAGGUGGGUAGGUAGAGUAUACUAAGGGGCGCGAGAUAACUCUCUCUAAGGAACUCGGCAAAAUGACUCCGUAACUUCGGGAGAAGGAGUGCCUUAUUUAUAAGGUUGCAAUAACAAGAUCCAAGCAACUGUUUACCAAAAACACAGGUCUCCGCUAAGUCGUAAGACGAUGUAUGGGGGCUGACGCCUGCCCAGUGCCAGAAGGUUAAGGAAGUUGGUUAGCAUCCGCGAAGCUGAUAACUGAAGCCCUGGUGAACGGCGGCCGUAACGAUAACGGUCCUAAGGUAGCGAAAUUCCUUGUCGGGUAAGUUCCGACCCGCACGAAAGGCGUAAUGAUUUGGAUACUGUCUCGGAGAGGGGCUCGGUGAAAUAGACUUGUCUGUGAAGAUGCGGACUACCUGCACCAGGACAGAAAGACCCUAUGAAGCUUUACUGUAACCUGAAAUUGAAAUUGGACUUUACUUGCGCAGUAUAGGUGGGAGGCGUUGAGAAUAUUCUUGCGGGAUUAUUGGAGCCAUCAGUGAGAUACCACUCUUGUAAUGUUAGAUUUCUAACUUUGUACCAUUAUCUGGUCAAAGAACAGUUUCAGGCGGGCAGUUUGACUGGGGCGGUCGCCUCCUAAACGGUAACGGAGGCGCACAAAGGUUUCCUCUGAACGGGUAGAAAUCGUAUCUAGAGUGUAAAGGCAUAAGGAAGCUUGACUGUGAGACCUACAAGUCGAGCAGGGACGAAAGUCGGUCUUAGUGAUCUGACGGUGCUGAGUGGAAAGGCCGUCACUCAACGGAUAAAAGUUACUCUAGGAUAACAGGCUGAUCUCCCCCAAGAGUUCACAUCGACGGGGAGGUCUGGCACCUCGAUGUCGGCUCAUCGCAUCCUGGGGCGGUAGUACGUCCCAAGGGUUGGGCUGUUCGCCCAUGAAAGCGGUACGCGAGCUGGGUUCAGAACGUCGUGAGACAGUUCGGUCCAUAUCCGGUGUAGGCGUUCGAAUAUUGAGAGGAGCCUUCUUUAGUACGAGAGGACCGAGAAGGACAUACCUCUGGUGUACCAGUUAUCGUGCCAACGGUAAACGCUGGGUAGCUAUGUGUGGAGUGGAUAACCGCUGAAAGCAUCUAAGUGGGAAGCCCACCUCAAGAUAAG
RNAcentral lists this ribosomal RNA (1234 nucleotides) under metagenome. RNAcentral's name for it is "bacterial LSU rRNA". It matches the Rfam family "Bacterial large subunit ribosomal RNA", at positions 1564 to 2808 of the family's 2925-position model. The record is from RNAcentral.